This 1506-nucleotide long non-coding RNA is filed under the name Homo sapiens (human). RNAcentral describes it as "HSALNT0057678". The record is from RNAcentral. Lineage: Eukaryota; Metazoa; Chordata; Mammalia; Primates; Hominidae.
GUUUAAGAAGAUAUCAGGCUUAUAUAGUGCAUUUGAUAUAAAACUCACCAAUUUAAGGUCUGGAGACUUAAAAAUACAGUCCAGGCUAGAUGCAGUGGCUCACACGUGUAAUCUCAGAAUUUUGGGAGGCUGAAGUGGGAGGAUUGCUUGAGCCCAGGAGUUUGAAACCAGCCUGGACAACAUAAUGAGACAUAGUCACUACAGAAAAUAAAAAAGUUACCUGGGCGUGGUGGCUUGUGCCUAUAGUCCCAGCUACUUAAGAGGCUGAGGUAGGAGGAUUACUUGGGCCAGGAGAUCGAGGCUGCAGUGAGCUGUGAUUGUGUCACUGCACUGCAGUCUCAAAAAAGAAAAACCAACUAAACAAAAACUUUAAUUUUCUAAACAUUUAAAUGUAUUGACUCUUUUCCUGAUGCUAUUACAUAUUAGCAUAUAUGUUAUCACCAUUAUAUGUGCUGUUUCAGUUACGGAAUCUUUCAUUACCAGAGAUGCAAUCUGAAUGAUGUCUUGUUGGAUUUAUUAUUUGUCAUUUCCCAAUUGCAAGUAUGUAAAUUACUUAUCAAAGACAUUUCUGUUAAAUGAGAAGAACAAAGAUUUCUUGAAUUGAUUUGUAGUAAGCUGUGUUUUUAAUAAUUUCUGGAAAAGGAAAGAAAGCAUUUUUAGAGAAGAAUUUGUUAAAAUUUUAAGCCUCUCAAUGGCAUCCAUUAGUAUAAUUAAAGAUAUUGUAGUGGCAGGCUAAUCUAUGUUAUAAGUGAUAAGAAACAAGUGCUUCUAUAAACCAAAAGAUUGUGUUUUUCUAAAUUUUUAAGUAUUUAUGGGUUAAUUUCUAGGGUGGUGUAGUUCGAACAGCUUUCUUGUGCUAAGAUGGCAAUGAUUGAAAAUUCACCUUCCUGGAAUACAUUUUUUUUUAACUGAAAACUUCAGUACAGUACAGUGUUUGUUAUUCUAUGUGACAGGAUACCCAGAGUUAUAUUGACGAAUGUCCUGGGAACGGAGUUAGGAAGAAAAUACAUAAGGACCCCACCUGUAACUGAGGGAAGUUUGAGUGAUACAGACAACUUGCAAUCAGAGCAACUUUCUUCAUCAUCUGAUGGCAGCCUAGAAUCUUAUCAAAAUCUAAACCCUCACAAGAGCUGUUAUUUAUCUGAAAGGGGCUCACAACGAAGUAAGACAGUAGAUGACAAUUCUGCAAAGCAGACUGCGCACAAUAAAGAAAAACGAAGAAAGGAUGAUGGCAUUUCUCUUUUAAUAUCUGAUACUCAGCCUGAAGACCUUAACAGUGGAAGUAGAGGUUGUGAUCAUCUCGAACAGGAAAGCAGAAACAAGGAUGUUAAAUAUUCUGAUUCAAAAGUGGAACUCACUCUGAUUUCCAGGAAGACAAAGAGAAGGCUUAGAAAUAAUUUACCUGAUUCUCAAUAUUGUACUUCUUUGGAUAAGUCAACAGAACAGACAAAAAAACAAGAAGAUGACUCAACAAUAUCCACUGAGUUUGAAAAGCCAAGUGAAAAC